UACGUAGGUGGCGAGCGUUGUCCGGAUUUACUGGGCGUAAAGAGCGCGCAGGCGGCUGGUCAAGUCCGAUGUGAAAGCUCCCGGCUUAACUGGGAAAUUGCAUCGGAAACUGAUCGGCUGGAAGGUGGGAGAGGGUAGCGGAAUUCCCGGUGUAGUGGUGAAAUGCGUAGAUAUCGGGAGGAACACCAGUGGCGAAAGCGGCUACCUGGCCUGUUCUUGACGCUGAGGCGCGAAAGCUAGGGGAGCAAACGGG
RNAcentral lists this ribosomal RNA (253 nucleotides) under uncultured bacterium. Its description in RNAcentral is "partial 16S ribosomal RNA". It matches the Rfam family "Bacterial small subunit ribosomal RNA", at positions 524 to 776 of the family's 1533-position model. The record is from RNAcentral.